AGGACGAACGCUGGCGGCGUGCUUAACACAUGCAAGUCGAGCGAGGCUCCUCCUUCGGGAGGAUGCCCUAGCGGCGAACGGGUGAGUAACACGUGGGCAACCUGCCCCUAGCACUGGGAUAACCCCGGGAAACCGGGGCUAAUACCGGAUACGACUUCGGAAGGCAUCUUCUGAAGUGGAAAAGGUUACUGGCUAGGGAUGGGCCCGCGGCCUAUCAGCUUGUUGGUGGGGUAAUGGCCCACCAAGGCGACGACGGGUAGCCGGCCUGAGAGGGCGACCGGCCACACUGGGACUGAGACACGGCCCAGACUCCUACGGGAGGCAGCAGUGGGAAUAUUGCACAAUGGGCGAAAGCCUGAUGCAGCGACGCCGCGUGAGGGAUGACGGCCUUCGGGUUGUAAACCUCUUUCAGCAGGGACGAAGCGAAAGUGACGGUACCUGCAGAAGAAGCACCGGCCAACUACGUGCCAGCAGCUGC
RNAcentral lists this ribosomal RNA (478 nucleotides) under uncultured bacterium. Its description in RNAcentral is "SSU rRNA". It matches the Rfam family "Bacterial small subunit ribosomal RNA", at positions 26 to 518 of the family's 1533-position model. The record is from RNAcentral.